This is a long non-coding RNA of Cimex lectularius (bed bug), 528 nucleotides long. RefSeq lists it as uncharacterized. The record is from RefSeq and is a predicted model, not a curated record. NCBI's taxonomy places the organism in Eukaryota, Metazoa, Arthropoda, Insecta, Hemiptera, Cimicidae. The transcript is spliced from 3 exons.
AUAAGUAUUUAAAGUAUUUUAAACAAGUUCAUGGCCUUUUUUCACAUGGCGAACAAAAGUAACUGUUUGGCAAGUGAGAUUCAGUUUGAUUAAUGGAAAAGGUUGUACGAGCCAAACUGGGCCCAGUGAAAUGAAAGCUGAGUCAUUUCUUCCAUCAGUAGAUCAACAGGUAAUAAAUGAUAACGUGGUGCAGCUUGCCAACGUCACGCCAGUUCGAAGAUUUAACCAUUCUGUUUAUAGAUACGUCAGCCGGAAAAUUGACUGGCCCGACUCUACGUGCGACUACUCUGUAACAAUUAGCAUAACAUUACAUGUUUGCGAUGGUGUAACCCGAAUGACAUCCUUUAUUUCUAAAAGAAACUGAUUACGUAUCUAAGUGGGCACGAGAAAUCACGCUUAGUGACACCGAUGGUAUCAGCAAUAACUACCAACUGGUGGCCCUGAACACUCAUUUACACGAUAAUACCACAGAAUUCAAGCGUAGGACUGUUUCCUUUUAAGGUUAACAAAAGUAAGCUGAUAAAACAA